UACGUAGGGUGCAAGCGUUGUCCGGAAUUAUUGGGCGUAAAGGGCUCGUAGGCGGCCAACUAAGUCAGACGUGAAAUCCCUCGGCUUAACCGGGGAACUGCGUCUGAUACUGGAUGGCUUGAGUUUGGGAGAGGGAUGCGGAAUUCCAGGUGUAGCGGUGAAGUGCGUAGAUAUCUGGAGGAACACCGGUGGCGAAGGCGGCAUCCUGGACCAACACUGACGCUGAGGAGCGAAAGCCAGGGGAGCAAACGGG
This 253-nucleotide ribosomal RNA is filed under the name uncultured bacterium. RNAcentral's name for it is "partial 16S ribosomal RNA". It matches the Rfam family "Bacterial small subunit ribosomal RNA", at positions 524 to 776 of the family's 1533-position model. The record is from RNAcentral.